CACACUCCAGCGGCAGCCCUGUGCCUAGAAUAAGCUCCUGUUCUCUGUCCUCUCCCACGGGAAAAGUAAUGCAGGAAGCAGGUGAGAUCCACAAAACAAGGGAUCAGAGAAACAGAGCUAGCCGGGGUGUUUAAGAGAACUGAUGUGAAAAUAAGACACUGGAUCCAGAUGAGGGGCAGGUCUGAGUGCCGAGAAAACCCUGGCUCAGAGGCUCAGCCCGGGGCAGCAUCUACAAAGACCAGGGCCAGGGAGACAAGCAGCCAUUCUGGCCUCAAACACUGGGAGCCUUGUGCCAUGACCCAUCCUGCUCUGCCUGCCGCCUGCCCACUGUCAGGUGUGGGGCAGCUGACCAGCAGCCCGGUGCCAGUGAAUGUGGGGCUGGAGAGUGGAGGAGGAACCACAGGUCAGACAGCACGCAGCGGAGGCCUUAGCAGUGAGCGUGUGGAAGGAGCCUCAAGAUUCGCGGUGCGCGGGGAGAGUGCAGAUGGAGAGGCCUGGCGGGGAGUCAGCAGAGAACUGGGCAUUGGCUCUGCCACACUGUACCCUCCCCGCCUCAGACUAACUGGAGGGUGGGAUCUUGGGGCAGAGCGAGGCCUACACGGGCCGGGCCACUCGCUCGCAGGGCUUCAGCCCUCUGACUGACAAGCCUCAGAAAUCCUACGGAGGGCCAGCUGGGACCUGAGGAGUCAUGCAGCGCGGUGCACAGAGCAGGUGAGGGGGUAACAGGCAGGAGGCAGGCCAGAAAUCCACCCGGACCCCACCGCAGAUGGCAGGUGUCUGUGUAUGUGCAAAGGAGAACAAAAAUUUACUAGUGCUUUGAUGUGAACAGCACCUUCCACGGGUGAGUCAGGGUGACCCUCACCACAGCUGCAUGCAGGGUCCAAACAAGCUGACCACCUCGUGCUGACAGGCUCCAGCCCCUGGCAGCCUUCCCUGGUCACACUUCCGGUCACACUUCCCUUGCUCUGCAUCCCCUCUCCCACUCCCACAAAUAUUUUUCGAACCUCCUUAACACUAACCCUUUACUGCAACUAUAAAAAG
This 1041-nucleotide long non-coding RNA is filed under the name Heterocephalus glaber (naked mole-rat). RNAcentral's name for it is "lncRNA (ENSHGLG00100052151.1)". The record is from RNAcentral. Lineage: Eukaryota; Metazoa; Chordata; Mammalia; Rodentia; Bathyergidae.